AUCCAACUGACGAGUCCCAAAUAGGACGAAAUGGCGCGUGUCCUGGAU
Schistosoma rodhaini is the source of this 48-nucleotide non-coding RNA. The record is from Rfam. Lineage: Eukaryota; Metazoa; Platyhelminthes; Trematoda; Strigeidida; Schistosomatidae.